RNAcentral lists this ribosomal RNA (237 nucleotides) under uncultured bacterium. RNAcentral describes it as "partial 16S ribosomal RNA". It matches the Rfam family "Bacterial small subunit ribosomal RNA", at positions 15 to 244 of the family's 1533-position model. The record is from RNAcentral.
GAUCCUGCUCAGGAUGAACGCUGGCGGCGUGCCUAAUACAUGCAAGUCGAACGCUUUGUAAAGGAGCUUGCUUCUUUACGAGGAGUGGCGAACGGGUGAGUAAUACAUAAGCAAUCUGCCCAUCGGCCUGGGAUAACAGUUGGAAACGACCGCUAAUACCGGAUAGGUUAGUCUUUGGCAUCAGGGACUAAUUAAAGUUGGGAUACAACACAGAUGGAUGAGCUUAUGGCGUAUUAG